This 497-nucleotide ribosomal RNA is filed under the name uncultured bacterium. RNAcentral's name for it is "partial 16S ribosomal RNA". It matches the Rfam family "Bacterial small subunit ribosomal RNA", at positions 28 to 507 of the family's 1533-position model. The record is from RNAcentral.
GAUGAACGCUGGCGGCGUGCCUAAUACAUGCCAGUCGAGCGAACAGACGAGGAGCUUGCUCCUCUGACGUUAGCGGCGGACGGGUGAGUAACACGUGGAUAACCUACCUAUAAGACUGGGAUAACUUCGGGAAACCGGAGCUAAUACCGGAUAAUAUAUUGAACCGCAUGGUUCAAUAGUGAAAGACGGUUUUGCUGUCACUUAUAGAUGGAUCCGCGCCGCAUUAGCUAGUUGGUAAGGUAACGGCUUACCAAGGCAACGAUGCGUAGCCGACCAGAGAGGGUGAUCGGCCACACUGGAACUGAGACACGGUCCAGACUCCUACGGGAGGCAGCAGUAGGGAAUCUUCCGCAAUGGGCGAAAGCUUGACGGAGCAACGCCGCGUGAGUGAUGAAGGUCUUCGGAUCGUAAAACUCUGUUAUUAGGGAAGAACAAAUGUGUAAGUAACUAUGCACGUCUUGACGGUACCUAAUCAGAAAGCCACGGCUAACUACGUG